CUGAGAGGAAGAUCCAGCCACACUGGGGGACUGAGACACGGCCCCAGACUCCUGACGGGAGGCAGGCAGUGGGGAAUAUUGCACGAAUGGGGGAAAGCCCUGAUGCAGGCCAUGCCGCGUGUGUGAAGAAGGCCUUCGGGUUGUAAAGCACUUUCAGUUGUGAGGAAAAGUUAGUAGUUAAUACCUGCUAGCCGUGACGUUAACAACAGAAGAAGCACCGGCUAACUCCGUGCCAGCAGCCGCGGUAAUACGGAGGGUGCGAGCGUUAAUCGGAAUUACUGGGCGUAAAGCGCACGCAGGCGGUUUGUUAAGCUAGAUGUGAAAGCCCCGGGCUCAACCUGGGAUGGUCAUUUAGAACUGGCAGACUAGAGUCUUGGAGAGGGGAGUGGAAUUCCAGGUGUAGCGGUGAAAUGCGUAGAUAUCUGGAGGAACAUCAGUGGCGAAGGCGACUCCCUGGCCAAAGACUGACGCUCAUGUGCGAAAGUGUGGGUAGCGAACAGGAUUAGAUACCCUGGUAGUCCACACCGUAAACGCUGUCUACUAGCUGUGUGUGUCUUUAAGACGUGCGUAGCGAAGCUAACGCGCUAAGUAGACCGCCUGGGGGAGUACGGCCGCAAGGUUUAAAACUCAAAUGAAUUGACGGGGGGCCCGCACAAGCGGUGGGAGCAUGUGGGUUUAAAUUCGAUGCAAACGCGAAAAAACCUUUACCUACACCUUGACAUGCCGAAGAACUUUUCUAGAAGAUAGAUUUGUUGCCUUUCGGGAAACUCUGAACACAGGUUGCCUGCAUGGGCUGGUCGUCCAGCUUCGUUGUCCUGGAGAAUGUUUGGGGUUAAAGUCCCCGCAAACGAAGCGCAACCCCUUGUUCCUUUAGUUUGCCCAGCCUUUAAGGUUGGGGCCACCUCUAAGGGAGAACUGCCCGGUUGACCAAAACCGGAAGGAAAGGUGGGGGAACGAACGUUCAAAGUCAAUCAUGGGCCCCUUUACCGUGGAAAGGGCUUACCAACCGUGGCUUAAAUAG
Molecule: ribosomal RNA, 1021 nt
Filed under: Alteromonas sp.
Lineage: Bacteria; Pseudomonadati; Pseudomonadota; Gammaproteobacteria; Alteromonadales; Alteromonadaceae
Description: bacterial SSU rRNA
Rfam family: Bacterial small subunit ribosomal RNA
Source: RNAcentral